Molecule: ribosomal RNA, 497 nt
Filed under: uncultured bacterium
Lineage: Bacteria
Description: partial 16S ribosomal RNA
Rfam family: Bacterial small subunit ribosomal RNA
Source: RNAcentral
GAUGAACGCUGGCGGCGUGCCUAAUACAUGCAAGUCGAGCGAACGGACGAGAAGCUUGCUUCUCGGAUGUUAGCGGCAGACGGGUGAGUAACACGUGGAUAACCUACCUAUAAGACUGGGAUAACUUCGGGAAACCGGAGCUAAUACCGGAUAAUAUUUUGAACCGCAUGGUUCAAAAGUGAAAGACGGUCUUGCUGUCACUUAUAGAUGGAUCCGCGCUGCAUUAGCUGGUUGGUAAGGUAAAGGCUUACGAAGGCAACGAGGCCUAGCCGACCUGAGAGGGUGAUCGGCCACACUGGAACUGGGACACGGUCCAGACUCCUACGGGAGGCAGCAGUAGGGAAUCUUCCGCAAUGGGCGAAAGCCUGACGGAGCAACGCCGCGUGAGUGAUGAAGGUCUUCGGAUCGUAAAACUCUGUUAUUAGGGAAGAACAUAUGUGUAAGUAACUGUGCACAUCUUGACGGUACCUAAUCAGAAAGCCACGGCUAACUACGUG